RNAcentral lists this ribosomal RNA (431 nucleotides) under uncultured bacterium. RNAcentral describes it as "bacterial SSU rRNA". It matches the Rfam family "Bacterial small subunit ribosomal RNA", at positions 29 to 506 of the family's 1533-position model. The record is from RNAcentral.
ACGAACGCUGGCGGCAUGCCUAACACAUGCAAGUCGAACGAGACCUUCGGGUCUAGUGGCGCACGGGUGCGUAACGCGUGGGAAUCUGCCCUUGGGUUUGGAAUAACAGUUAGAAAUGACUGCUAAUACCAAAUGAUGUCGCAAGACCAAAGAUUUAUCGCCCAAGGAUGAGCCCGCGUAGGAUUAGCUAGUUGGUGAGGUAAAGGCUCACCAAGGCGACGAUCCUUAGCUGGUCUGAGAGGAUGAUCAGCCACACUGGGACUGAGACACGGCCCAGACUCCUACGGGAGGCAGCAGUGGGGAAUAUUGGACAAUGGGCGAAAGCCUGAUCCAGCAAUGCCGCGUGAGUGAUGAAGGCCUUAGGGUUGUAAAGCUCUUUUACCCGGGAUGAUAAUGACAGUACCGGGAGAAUAAGCCCCGGCUAACUCCAU